GACGAACGCUGGCGGCGUGCCUAAUACAUGCAAGUUGAGCGCUGAAGGUUGGUCCUUGUCUCAACUGGAUGAGCAGCGCACGGGUGAGUAACGCGUGGGGAAUCUGCCUUUGAGCGGGGGACAACAUUUGGAAACGAAUGCUAAUACCGCAUAAAAACUUUAAACACAAGUUUUAAGUUUGAAAGAUGCAAUUGCAUCACUCAAAGAUGAUCCCGCGUUGUAUUAGCUAGUUGGUGAGGUAAAGGCUCACCAAGGCGAUGAUACAUAGCCGACCUGAGAGGGUGGUCGGCCACAUUGGGAGUGAGACACGGCCCAAAGGCCUACGGGAGGCAGCAGUAGGGAAUCUUCGGCGAGGGACGGAAGUCUGACCGAGCAACGCCGCGUGAGUGAAGAAGGGUGUCGGAUCGUAAAACUCGGUUGGUAGAGAAGAACGUUGGUGAGAGUGGAAAGCUCAUCAAGUGACGGUAACUACCCAGAAAGGGACGGCUAACUACGUG
RNAcentral lists this ribosomal RNA (497 nucleotides) under uncultured bacterium. RNAcentral describes it as "partial 16S ribosomal RNA". It matches the Rfam family "Bacterial small subunit ribosomal RNA", at positions 28 to 507 of the family's 1533-position model. The record is from RNAcentral.